This 443-nucleotide ribosomal RNA is filed under the name uncultured bacterium. Its description in RNAcentral is "partial 16S ribosomal RNA". It matches the Rfam family "Bacterial small subunit ribosomal RNA", at positions 338 to 795 of the family's 1533-position model. The record is from RNAcentral.
CCUACGGGUGACUGCAGUGGGGGAUAUUGCACAAUGGGGGGAACCCUGAUGCAGCGACGCCGCGUGGGUGAAGGAGCGUUUCGGUAUGUAAAGCUCUAUCAGCAGGGAAGAAAGAAAUGACGGUACCUGACUAAGAAGCCCCGGCUAACUACGUGCCAGCAGCCGCGGUAAUACGUAGGGGGCAAUCGUUAUCCGGAUUUAAUGGGUGUCAAGGGGGCGUAGACGGGGAGGCAAGUCUGAAGUGAAAGGCGGGGGCCCAACCCCCGGACUGCUUGGGAAACUGUAUGGCUGGAGUGCAGGAGAGGUAAGUGGAAUGCCUGGUGUAGCGGUGAAAUGCGUAGAUAUUAGGAGGAACACCAGUGGCGAAGGCGGCUUACUGGACUGUAACUGACGUUGAGGCACGAAAGCGUGGGGAGCGAACAGGAUUAGAUACCCGGGUAGUC